GGCCUCUGGUUAUUCCAUUCCUGAUGGUGGCUUUCUGUUCUUUUAUUUUCCUGAUCAGAAAAGGAUUUUACACAAGGAAUAAGAAUCAUUCACCAGGAUGACAGAAAAUAUCAGAACUCAUCAGUGUCUCACAGCAAAGAGCUCAGACUACGAACAUCUGACAUACAGAAACAAACAGCGAGUCCCAGCCGUCACCGUGACAACAUAAAUACCAGUAACUGUGACUCCUUUAACCAGUUUUAUGUUGUUUCAGGUUUGUUCAUUAGACCACUGCUCUUUGCCAUGAUUUAUCCUUUUGGGAUGUUUUUGUCCUAACAAUAGGCAAAAGCAUGAAUGAAUUCUUAUUAGUUUUGUACCCAAACUAAAAUAACAUGUAUCCUGUAAAACAAUGAUUUCUAUUUAAGUUGAUGGUGAAACUAAAUUCUCUGUUUCCAAAAUUUACCCUGAAACUGUAACUCCUGAGUUAGGGUACCGCUUUUCCUCCCUGCAGUUUAGGAAUAAUGUUGAACAAAAUAUUUUAACAAAAUCUGUUCUCUGUUAAAAUUCAACCUAAGGGUAAAAUCAACAAACACAAACGUGAUGAUGAAUACCUGACAGAGCCGGUGGCUUAAUUUCAGUGCUCACUUGUUUGGUAAACUACGGUAAUUUAUAAGUCUAGAAGUACUGUGAAAACUCAGCUGAAACCAAAGCAAACAGCAGCUUAUUGGUGUGAUUUUAAGAUGAGCUGUUUGGUAGCAAGAAAAUGAAGGAAAACACCAAGUUGCCUCUAAAACACUAAAAGAUAUUGCACUUUUUUAAUCUAUACUGACUGAAAGUAUCAGCGUCAGGAAGAAGUAGAACUAGAUCAUAAUCAAAGGGGGAAUGUAAGGCUAGUGGUGAGAGCAGACAGGCAACAAGUUCCCCGGUUCAAAUCCCACAGGCUGCCACUGUGAUCCCUGAGCAAAACCCUCACCACACAUACACACACACACACACUUUCUGAGGACGGGUUAGAUGAAGAGGACCCAUUUUAAUGAAGUGUCUGUUGCAAUGAUCAUUAUUAACUAUUUCUCUGCCAUAAAAGAUUGUACAGUUUGUAUGCUUAAAUUGUGUAGCAUUUACACUUUGUUAUCCCUGUUGCUAUUCUCACUUGGCACUUUUUUGCACUGCAUUACAUUGUUGUAGACAAGAAAAAAAAGAUGUAUGUUCAACUGCUUAUUUGUAUUUUGCAUUAAUGUGUGAAGUACUAACAGCUUCAGUCUGAACCCUGUGAUCAGUAUUGCUGAUUCAUAUAAUAAAUUGAGCAUCUUCUCAAAUAUUAAUUUUUUUGUAUUUAUCUAUAAUUCCUUCAUGUUUCAUUUCACCACAUAUUUGCUUUAUUUCUCUGACAUUAAAUUGUAAUAAACCAAGCCUUUUAAAAAGA
This is a long non-coding RNA of Fundulus heteroclitus (mummichog), 1402 nucleotides long. RefSeq lists it as uncharacterized. Lineage: Eukaryota; Metazoa; Chordata; Actinopteri; Cyprinodontiformes; Fundulidae. The transcript has 3 exons. The record is from RefSeq and is a predicted model, not a curated record.